Molecule: non-coding RNA, 28 nt
Filed under: Mus musculus (house mouse)
Lineage: Eukaryota; Metazoa; Chordata; Mammalia; Rodentia; Muridae
Source: RNAcentral
UGGUAAUGGGCUCUCGCUUAUGGUGGAC